Molecule: ribosomal RNA, 371 nt
Filed under: uncultured bacterium
Lineage: Bacteria
Description: bacterial SSU rRNA
Rfam family: Bacterial small subunit ribosomal RNA
Source: RNAcentral
GUAGGGUGCGAGCGUUAAUCGGAAUUACUGGGCGUAAAGCGUGCGCAGGCGGUUUUGUAAGUCAGAUGUGAAAUCCCCGAGCUCAACUUGGGAACUGCGUUUGAAACUACAAGACUAGAAUAGGUCAGAGGGGGGUAGAGUUCCACGUGUAGCAGUGAAAUGCGUAGAGAUGUGGAGGAAUAUCAAUGGCGAAGGCAGCCCCCUGGGAUCAUAUUGACGCUCAUGCACGAAAGCGUAGGGAGCAAACAGGAUUAGAUACCCUGGUAGUCCACGCCCUAAACGAUGUCAACUAGUUGUUGGUAGAGUAAAAUCUAUGAGUAACGCAGCUAACGCGUGAAGUUGACCGCCUGGGGAGUACGAUCGCAAGAUUA